Molecule: long non-coding RNA, 563 nt
Organism: Lates calcarifer (barramundi perch)
Lineage: Eukaryota; Metazoa; Chordata; Actinopteri; Centropomidae
Exons: 2
Source: RefSeq, a predicted model, not a curated record
AAUACUGUUGAGUCAUCCCACGGUCUCUUCCUGACUGAGCAGCAAACGAGACAGACAGAGAGAGUGGAGAGUAAGAUAAAUGCAGAUACCCCAAUUCUAGAAAGAAUAAAAGGCCUGUAGUGGUUACAAUUCUUCUGCUAGGUGCCGAAAGGACAAUUAUCGCUUUGUGUAUAAAAGGCCAGGAAAUCCGUCAUCCUUCAUCAUCCUCCACCAUCAUCUGUUCUCUGUUCUUCUUCUGCUCCAUUAUUUUCUGCCUUCUCAACAUCAACAUCGCCCCUGUCGUCUUCUGUGGAUUGUGAGAUUUUGCCAGAUUUUGGGUUUGUCAGCCCAGCAUCCUCCUGUAAGUGGUGCUGCCCAGAGUCGGAUCAAGAGAAAGAGAGAUCUUACCUGAAUUACUGCUGUUCAGCGGAAGGCAGUAGGACAAAUACAGUCCCCGCCUACACAAGAAGACACCUUUGCUUCACACUCUGAUAUUGGAUGGACUUACACACAGAGACUGAUUAGACUGAACUCCUUGAUCCCAGUCUCAUGGACACUGUAAAACAAGAUAAUUUGAUGCUGAA